RNAcentral lists this long non-coding RNA (1074 nucleotides) under Gallus gallus (chicken). RNAcentral's name for it is "lncRNA (ENSGALG00010020610.1)". The record is from RNAcentral. Lineage: Eukaryota; Metazoa; Chordata; Aves; Galliformes; Phasianidae.
CACACGGUGGUAGGAGAAGCCCCCGGCAGCGCUGCGGGCCCCUCUGUGCUCCAUUCCCUCCCCCCACCCACAGCCCCGGCCACAGCUGCGACGAAUGGAGAGCAAAAAGCUCUCCUCCGAAGGGCUGAGGGAUCGGCCAGCAGCAGUGCUGGGUGCCAAACUGCCGCAGCUCAGCUCGGGGGUUGCGUUCACUGAGCUCUGAAGGUUCUGGACUCCCCGUUCUGCAGUGCAGGAGCUGCACCUCUGAAGGCCAUCUGGUCCCACCCCCUGCGAUAAGCGGGGACACCCACAGCUCCAUCAGGUGCUCAGAGCCCACCCAGUCUGACCUUGGCUGUACCCAUGGAUGGGACGUCCACCACCACAGCACUCAGCUCUCCAGGAGCAGGCUGACACACGGACCUGGAGGAGAAGGGCAAGUUGUCGUGGCCGGCGCUGGCGCAGCAGUAGAAGCCCUGCAGGGUUUUCACCACCCGUCCUCUCGCUGGGCUGAUGUUUGAUUGCAUCCCACAGCAGCAGACUGGAGCUCCACAAACACAUGGGGAUUGGCUCAUGCCAAAGGCUGUUCCCAGCAGGAGAUGGGAGACUUGGAUUGGCACAUCUCUUGGCUUCACGGAGUGGCUCUGGGCACUGGUCCUUUGGGAUGGUGGUCUGCAGCACUGCUCCAUUGCCCAGUGCUGGACUUUGCUCCCCAACCUCCCUGCUGGGAUUUCCCAUGGCUCGGAGCUGCAGAGCUGGGUGCCGGCCUUGGCAAACAGCCAGAGAUGGGAGUGCAGCCGGCUCACCCUGCCUGCAGGGCAACUCACCGUGGCAAUGCCUGCAGGCCCGGCCUGCCUGCAAACAGCUGCAGAGCACUGUGGGGUCACCAGGGCUCGGUGUGACACGAGGACAGGGUGCUCAUUCCCAAUACAACAGCCAGCUGGGAAGUCCCUGUUCUUGUUUGGAGCUGCCCAUGCUCAGCCCUUGGUGCCAUUUGCUAAGGCAGCAGCCAGCGUGUGGCUGAGUCUGCAGGACUGGCCUUUCCACAGCAAGGUCACUGUUUUUCAUCCCCAGCAUCCCAUCUUCCAUCCUCAGAUC